This 577-nucleotide long non-coding RNA is filed under the name Olea europaea subsp. europaea. The record is from RNAcentral. Lineage: Eukaryota; Viridiplantae; Streptophyta; Magnoliopsida; Lamiales; Oleaceae.
CGUGAACAGUAACUCCGAACAGUAACACUUUUUUUUUUUUUUUUUUUUAGAACAACUAUGAAGAAAUUGGAAAAAUAAUAACUCGAUUGCUCACGCUAAAAGUUUAUUUGUUUGUACUGUUCCACAAGUUUUUGGGAAAGAAAUAGGAAGAGAUUUUUGGAUUGGAGAUGAGAGAUUACCCAAGUUUAGGCUCUGAUACCAAAUUUGAUGCAGCACCAAUGGGACAAUUCAUUGAGAAAUAGAACAGAUCUAUAGGGAGAGGGAAUUAAAGAGAAGAAUGGGGAAUUAAAGAGGGGAAGAAGAAGAAUUUAAUAGAAGAGGGCAGAAUAAGGGGAGGGAUGCGCCAUAAGCCACCAAAAUAAUUAUCCAUUCAUCAUCAACUGUCUCAAAUGAGAAACAAAACAGAAAUAAAUAGUAGAACACAAACCCUAAAGAGAAGGGCUUGGGCCAAACCCACUAAACAAGCCCAAUAACAGAAAUAUAAAUAAUAAUCCAAAUAGAAUAUAACUAAUAGUCCAAAAAGAAAAUAAAUAGUAAAUGGAAGAAAAUAAAUAGUAAAUGGAUGUCCGCAUCAGUU